This 250-nucleotide non-coding RNA is filed under the name Thermincola sp. RNAcentral's name for it is "T-box sequence". It matches the Rfam family "T-box leader". Rfam says of the family: Uncharged tRNA acts as the effector for transcription antitermination of genes in the T-box leader family. T-boxes are found upstream of many aminoacyl-tRNA synthetase genes and some amino acid biosynthetic genes usually in Gram-positive bacteria. Lineage: Bacteria; Bacillati; Bacillota; Clostridia; Eubacteriales; Thermincolaceae. The record is from RNAcentral.
GCAAAGAUAAUGAAGGGGAGGAGAAACAUUGAAUUUCAGGCUGCAGAGAGCCGGAGUAAGGUGCAAGUCCGGCGCCGAAACAAUGUUUCAGGAUCACCCCGGAAUCGUCUUACGAACGGCUGAAAAGCUCAGUAGUUUCGACCGGUUGACAUCCGUUACAAUGUCGUGGUGAAUACAUAAGUGGCUGUGUGUUUUGAUGCGCGCAGCAAGCAGGGUGGUACCGCGGAAGGUUUAACCUCUCGUCCCUGGC